Molecule: long non-coding RNA, 2552 nt
Filed under: Amborella trichopoda
Lineage: Eukaryota; Viridiplantae; Streptophyta; Magnoliopsida; Amborellales; Amborellaceae
Description: long non-coding RNA (ATRI_LNC005491)
Source: RNAcentral
UGUGAGGUUAAAGUAGAGAAAAGUUUGUUUAACGAACUAAAAAAAUUGGCAAUUAGAUUGGAUGAGAUAUAUGUUAGGACAAUGGAGAAGACUAAAGAGGUACAUUAAAGUUAAUUGAUUUUUUAUUAGUUUCUUAUUAUGUUUUUUAUAUAGUUUUUGGAUUUAUUUUGUAUUAUUUUCUAUUUUGAUUAUAUUAUAUUAUUUAUCAUUGAAUAUCAUUCUAUUUAUUUUCUCUGAUAUCUAAUCAAGUUUAAAGUAUGCAAAUAUCUAUAUUUCAAGAAAAAUUACUAAUUUAUUUGAUUAGAAAUUGCUUUAAGCAGUCAUAUUUUAUAGCGUUUAAAAUUUUUAUUUUUCUAAAUUGUUUAUGACUUUGUGAGAGACAACUUCUUCAGAGAAUUAAUUUGUGAUCUCAUCUAUUUCAUUAAUCAUGGUGCUCUACUUAUAUUUACUCAAUAUUAAAAACGUACUUCCAGAUACUAAUAUUGGGGUAGAUGUGAUAUAUAUGGGGAAAAUUUAUACUAAUGUUAUGCUAUUUACUAUUGAAAAAUAUACUUCCAGAUACUAAUAUUGGGGUAGAUGUGGUAUAUAUGGGAAAUUUAUACUAAUAUUGGGUAGACGUGGUAUAGAUGGGAAAAUUUUUGAGGAUUCAGAUAAGGAGACGAGUAAAGCACAUGGCAUGUGUGAGAGGUCAUGGGAUAACAUUCUGACUAAUUUCUUGGUUUCAUCUUGUAUUUUUUUUAUUGGUAUUGUAUUACAAAUAAGUGAGAUAGUGAAUUUUAGGUUUACAUAUUUAGUGGGUUGUGAAUCCCUAAUUUUAAGAAACAAAUUUGUUUUUUUAAGAUCUCUAACUUGCUAACCGAUAUGAGCAUAUAAAUUUACCUAUAUUUUUUGGGAUCUUUCUUUAUCUUUUGAGUCUUAUUUGGAAUUUUCUUUAAUAUCUUAUAUAAAUUUUAUCGAUAUCGUUUGGGGUGUUUCAUUUAUCAGCCUAUAAAUUUUACCGAUAUCGUUUUGGGUGUUUCAUUUAUACUAUUUGGAAUUUUUUUAAUAUCUCUAACUGGUCCACUGCUUUUUAUGUUAUCAAUGAUUUUUAUUUGGAAUCAUAUUUAGAAUUUUUUUAAUAUCUCUAGCUUGUCCACUGCGGUUUACGUUAUCUAUGAGUUCUAUUUGGAAUCUUAUUUAGAAUUUUUUUUAAUAUCUCUAACUUGCCAACAGAUAUGAGCUGCAAUUUUUUUUUAAUAUCUCUCGCAAAAUAUGAGCACAUAUGAGCAUAUAAAUGUUAACUAUAUCUUUUGGGUGUUUCGUAGAGGGAUGUUUUUGAAAAGGAUAAAAUUUAGAAAGUACAACAAAAAAUAGUUAAAAACGUAUAACUUUAGAGAGGGAAAAUGAUAAAAUUUAGAAAGUACUGAAAAAAAAAAUUAGAUAAAAACUUUUAGGGCAUCAAAGAGAGAAAAUUGUAUAGAGAAUAAAGCUUAGUGGGAGAUUGAGUUAUGUGUGUCUAGUUCUUUCAAGUACCUUUAAUUUUUUUUCUUUAAUAGUUCUAUCAAGUAAGUGCCAUGUGAUUUUUUUUUUUUAAUAGUGAAAAACAUCGAUUGUCUUUACUCGUGAAUUUUUUUUUUUUUAAUAGUGCAAAACAUUGAUUGUUUUCAUCCAUAGAUGUAGUCGAACACGUAAAUACUAGUGUUUUUUUUUCUGUUAUUUAUUUUCUGUUUUAUUUUUCGUGCUUCUUGCUUGUUUUAUUUUUCUCGUACUGUAUUUGUCAAAAAUGAACCCAUCUUACAUUUAGUUUAAAAGACAAUGAGCUCAUUCUCUAGGAUUUUCUAUUAGAAUACUUUAAAUCUCCAUUGUCUUUGCAAUAAUUGGAAUAAGGGAUGUUUUCGUCUCGAUUAUAACACUUCGAAAAUCAUUGUUUUGUUGAUCAGAAUAUAUAGAAUGGGUUCCCGACAUCACUAGCUCAAAAGACCAUUUAUGUAAUAAGGCAAUGGAAGGUGAGAGGUUCCGGCCAGACGAAACAAAGGCAACUAGAGAAUGCAGAGUGAGAAAAAGAAAAGGCAAACAAAAAAAAUGUGGAAAGAAUAAUACAGAAAGAGAGAAAAUAAAUGGAAAGAGAGAAGACAUAAAUGUAAAGAGAGAAUGUAAAAAAUAACUACAAAAAGACAUAAAUGCAAAAGGCAACUCGAGAAUGCGGAGUGAGAAAAAAAAAAGGCAAACAAAAAUAGGUGGAGAUAACAAUGCAGAAAGAGAGAAAAUAAAUGCAAAAAGAGAAGUCGUAAACGCAAAGAGGGAAUGUAAAAACUAAAGGCAAAGAGAGAAGGCAUAAAUACAAAGAGAGAACGUAAAAAAGAGAAAAUGGAUGGAACCAAGUUGUACCAAAACCUACCACUAAACGAAAGUUAUCAUCUAAAUUCAAAUUGCAUACUCUAUCACUUUUUCAUAUUUUUAAAUACAUUUUUAAAUACAUAUUAACUUUGUGUAUCACUUCUUUCUUUUCACGAUUUUUUAUAGCUUAUGAGAACUUUUUCAUUCCAAUUUUAAAAAUUAUUUUUAAUUGGGAC